GUGAGGAAUAUUGGUCAAUGGACGAGAGUCUGAACCAGCCAAGUAGCGUGAAGGAUGACUGCCCUAUGGGUUGUAAACUUCUUUUAUAAGGGAAUAAAGUGUGGGACGUGUCCCUUUUUGUAUGUACCUUAUGAAUAAGGAUCGGCUAACUCCGUGCCAGCAGCCGCGGUAAUACGGAGGAUCCAAGCGUUAUCCGGAUUUAUUGGGUUUAAAGGGAGCGUAGGUUGACAUAUAAGUCAGCUGUGAAAGUUUACGGCUCAACCGUGAAAUUGCAGUUUAUAGUGUAUGUCUUGAGUGUACAAGAGGUGGGCGGAAUUCGUGGUGUAGCGGUGAAAUGCUUAGAUAUCACGAAGAACUCCAAUUGCGAAGGCAGCUCACUGGGGUACAACUGACACUGAGGCUCGAAAGUGUGGGUAUCAAACAGGAUUAGAUACCCGAGUAGUCC
This 445-nucleotide ribosomal RNA is filed under the name uncultured bacterium. RNAcentral describes it as "partial 16S ribosomal RNA". It matches the Rfam family "Bacterial small subunit ribosomal RNA", at positions 354 to 796 of the family's 1533-position model. The record is from RNAcentral.